Molecule: ribosomal RNA, 542 nt
Filed under: Bifidobacterium dentium
Lineage: Bacteria; Bacillati; Actinomycetota; Actinomycetes; Bifidobacteriales; Bifidobacteriaceae
Description: bacterial SSU rRNA
Rfam family: Bacterial small subunit ribosomal RNA
Source: RNAcentral
GUGGUAAUGCCGGAUGCUCCAGUCCAUCGCAUGGUGGUCUGGGAAAGAUUCCAUCGGUAUGGGAUGGGGUCGCGUCCUAUCAGCUUGAUGGCGGGGUAACGGCCCACCAUGGCUUCGACGGGUAGCCGGCCUGAGAGGGCGACCGGCCACAUUGGGACUGAGAUACGGCCCAGACUCCUACGGGAGGCAGCAGUGGGGAAUAUUGCACAAUGGGCGCAAGCCUGAUGCAGCGACGCCGCGUGCGGGAUGGAGGCCUUCGGGUUGUAAACCGCUUUUGAUCGGGAGCAAGCCCUUCGGGGUGAGUGUACCCUUCGAAUAAGCACCGGCUAACUACGUGCCAGCAGCCGCGGUAAUACGUAGGGUGCAAGCGUUAUCCGGAAUUAUUGGGCGUAAAGGGCUCGUAGGCGGUUCGUCGCGUCCGGUGUGAAAGCCCAUCGCUUAACGGUGGGUCUGCGCCGGGUACGGGCGGGCUGGAGUGCGGUAGGGGAGACUGGAAUUCCCGGUGUAACGGUGGAAUGUGUAGAUAUCGGGAAAGAACACCA